UGUUUGCAGCAGUAUCGCUUUGUGAUUUCUGUGCAGGGUUCAUCCACUCGCAUCAUUGAACAAUGUCGGAAACGGCAGCAUUUUGUAUUUUAGGAAAUUAGAUUGAUUAUUUAAGAAAAAACACAAUUGGUAAUCAAGAUCUGUAUGCUAUUUCUGAGCAAAGAUGGAGCCAGGACGUGCAAUUAUUGCCAAGCGUUUGUUUUCCGGACAUAAUAAAUUAUAUGAUUAGUACACCUAGCCCAUACACCCUCGAAGAUCUGUGAUGCUACAAUUGGAAAUAUACAACCAGUUUAUCUGUGGAUGGUUUAGAGAGGUGAAGACGUGCAUCAUAAACAACCUUUGUCUCAUUCAAACUCGGUUUUGUCAGCUGGCUCGUUAGUUCUCCAAGACCCUACUCAGACAGACCCAGACCCAGCCGUAUUUGAAUACUACGUAAACGAUUCUGGACCUUGAAGCUUGACAGCCAUAUGUUAUUAUUAUGUAAUGUUCCUAAAUAUCGUUAUGAAAUUGUUAUAAGUUUGUGCCAUUUUUGUUAAUGGGGUUCUUUUUUUUAGUUGUGUUUUUUAAAUUUAGAAUAAAAAUAUAUAGUAUAUUUAUUUUUAAUGUAUAAUUAUAAUGUAUAAAUGUAUCAUAUGUUAACCACAUUUUAAUAAAGUAUAUUAA
Long non-coding RNA from Acipenser ruthenus (sterlet), 663 nucleotides. RefSeq lists it as uncharacterized. The record is from RefSeq and is a predicted model, not a curated record. The transcript has 3 exons. Lineage: Eukaryota; Metazoa; Chordata; Actinopteri; Acipenseriformes; Acipenseridae.